CCUACGGGUGGCAGCAGUGGGGAAUAUUGCACAAUGGGGGUAAGACUGAUGCAGCGACGCCGCGUGCGUGAAGAAGUAUCUCGGUACGUAAAGCUCUAUCAGCAGGGAAGAAAAUGACGGUACCUGACUAAGAAGGCCCGGCUAACUCCGUGCCAGCAGCGGCGGUAAUACGUAGGGGGCGAGAGUUAUCCGGAUUUACUGGGUGUAAAGGGAGCGUAGACGGCAGCACAAGUCUGGAGUGAAAUCCCGGGGCUUAACCACGGAACUGCUGGGGAAACUGUGCUGCUGGAGUGCAGGAGGGGUAAGCGGAAUUCCUGGUGUAGCGGUGAAAUGCGUAGAUAUUAGGAGGAACACCGGUGGCGAAGGCGGCAUACUGGAGUGCAACUGACGUUGAGGCUCGAAAGCGCGGGGAGCAAACAGGAUUAGAUACCCGUGUAGUC
Molecule: ribosomal RNA, 440 nt
Filed under: uncultured bacterium
Lineage: Bacteria
Description: partial 16S ribosomal RNA
Rfam family: Bacterial small subunit ribosomal RNA
Source: RNAcentral